This 253-nucleotide ribosomal RNA is filed under the name uncultured bacterium. RNAcentral describes it as "partial 16S ribosomal RNA". It matches the Rfam family "Bacterial small subunit ribosomal RNA", at positions 524 to 776 of the family's 1533-position model. The record is from RNAcentral.
UACGUAGGGUGCGAGCGUUAAUCGGAAUUACUGGGCGUAAAGCGUGCGCAGGCGGUUCGUUGUGUCUGUGGUGAAAGCCCCGGGCUUAACCUGGGAAUGGCCAUGGAAACUGGCGAGCUGGAGUGUGGCAGAGGGGGGUGGAAUUCCGCGUGUAGCAGUGAAAUGCGUAGAGAUGCGGAGGAACACCGAUGGCGAAGGCAGCCCCCUGGGUUGACACUGACGCUGAGGCACGAAAGCGUGGGGAGCAAACAGG